Varanus komodoensis (Komodo dragon) is the source of this 6901-nucleotide RNA transcript. It is a transcript of the gene named Cdc42 guanine nucleotide exchange factor 9, with no coding region annotated. The record is from RefSeq and is a predicted model, not a curated record. NCBI's taxonomy places the organism in Eukaryota, Metazoa, Chordata, Lepidosauria, Squamata, Varanidae. The transcript is spliced from 13 exons.
UGCUCUCCAUCUUAUCCCCACAAGAACAACCCUGUGUGGUAGGUUUGGUGGAGAGUCUGACUGGCCCAAAGUCACCGGUUGGCUCCACGGCUCAGCGGGGGCUUGAACCCAGGUCACCUGAGUCCCAGUCCUGCGCUCCUAGCCACUGCACCACACUGGCUCUCACUCGCACCAUACGAGUUGUGCGUGUGUGAGCUGGAUUGGAGCCAUGGGGUGUCAGAUGGGGACUUCCAUGGUUUGGCUACAUUGCCAUUUUUUCCUCACUCUUUUCCUUCCUCUGUUGCCCACCUCCUUUGCGCAUUGCAGUAUUAGCACAUAGAAUGUCAGGAUGUUUUGUGUGUUGUGCUGUAGCUGUGGGCCAGUGCCACUAUAGCAGAACAGCUCAUAGUCCUGGGAUCACACAUCCUGACAACCCAGAGUUCACAACCCAAUGAGAAACCACCGGUUCUCUUUCUGGGUUGUCCGUGGUUCACAAACAAUGGUUUGUUAGCAUGGCUGGGUUCACCUGUCAUGACAACUCAGAAUUCAACAGUCCAUAAGUGUCUGUGAAUCCAGCCAGUGUUUGAGUGCAGUGUGUCUUUGUAUUGGAUACACUGCAAAUUAUCUAUAAAUUACCCCUUGAUGUCAGUGAAAUUAGGAUCCAGCUAGAUAUAUCUUAAAAUAUUGAACCCCCCACUCUUUUUGAAACAGAAAAACUCAUGGUAUCCUUUUUUGUUUCUCCUGCAUGCAGAAAAGCAUCUGGUGGCCAUGGCUCUGUGACGCCGGGAGCCUGGAUCUGUCAGCUGGAAGAAUGGAACUUGCAGACAACUGUCCGCACAGUUACUUGAGAGCAGUGCCAAAUGGAUAUGGAAACCAAGUUUUUCAAGCAAAUCUGAAAGAAAGGUGUACUGAUGUUAAUUAUUCCCAUUCUGGUGGGCUCAGUGGUGAUGAAAAGGAAGAUGCAGCCAAGCAGAAGAAGAAGGCCAGGGGAAGUCGGAUCUGGAAUUUUGUUAGCCGUAGGAAAGGAUCUGCCAUGAAUACCAAAAGACCCCAGUCCAUGAUCCUUUUUAGUAAUAAUAUGGAGAUUCUGGAGCAAAAUCGUAAGAUGUCCUUCAUGGAAAAGGUAAGGUCCUUUAAGAAGCUGAGGACAUCUGGCGUGUCCAAGAAUACAUCCAAAGCCAAGGCGGUCAUUAUCGCUGUAGAAACACAGGAAGAUCUUGGAGAGAAAUCGCUCCAUAGCAUUAAGAAGCUCAGUGACAGUCAACGGCCUUACCGACACUCCUACGCUGGCUACAUCGAGGAUCUGGAUUCUUCUUUUGAAGAUGUUGAGUUGAACAGUUGUGUGCUAGAUCUCAACACCAGUGAGAGUCAGUGGCACAGGACUGUUGCCAUUGGAAUAAACCAUGACAACCUUGAUCAUGAGUGUCCCAGAACAUCAACUGGGGGAAGCCUGGCUCCUGAAUUUGAAAGUACUCAGGAAUUUGAUACUGUACAAGGGGACCCUUCAAGGAGGUGUCCCGUGGUUAUUCAUGAGAGUAAGAAAAGAACCUCAGAAGUCUGGAGUUACCUGAAAGGGAUUUCAUUGACCGGGAAGGAUUGUUCAAAGCUGGCCGAUGAAAGAGUGGAACCCAAUGCUGAGGAUGUAGAAAACCCAGUGGAUAAUCACCCUGCUUAUUUUGAUUGUAAUGUGAAAGACAAGGAAAGCGUUGGCCGGCCAAAAAGGGUGAGCCAUGCGGCUAAGGGCAGUCUCUUUGGUGGGGUUCUUAGAUUCUUCAGCAGCGUGGCUGAGGCAGCUCAGAAAUGGCGGGGAACUUCAAAAGCGUGUUCACAGGAGGAACAAAGACCGAACUUUCCAUGCCGAAGGCAAGAGCUUCCUCAUCAUCGGCAGCCUUUAAGUACUGGUGAUGACAAUGUGUGUUUCUCUACCACACAUUUGUCUCCAGAUUCUAGGAACUUGGAUGGUCCUAGCUCAAAACACUCCACCAGUAAAGAACUGUCCCAAGGGAGUACAAAUGCUGAGAUUUCCCAUGAAGUCUUCAGACAGGAUAUCAGUUGCAAAGAAACAUCUUUCCCACCCUCUGGCACAAAUUUGACACCUUCCCCCCUCUCAGAACUUCCUAAUGAUUGUAGCUUUCCCAAUGUUCAUGGUCUCGCCAUGGAUUUGUCGCAGAGUCGGGAUCCAUUUUUUAAUCUAGUAGACAAUCAGGGCUUAAGUAUUGCUGCAACGGACACUUUGGCAUUAUCUUCUUGGGGCCAGGGGAAUAGUCAGAGCUCUGGUAAUACACCAGCAGAUCCGCAGAAUUUGGAUGUUAGUGACUUACGGCCUCCGGAUCCCACCAAGAUUAAGAUGGAUGUUACUGGGGUGGAAAGUGCUUCUUCUCCGAACUUUGAAGAGUGGUGUGAUGGAGAAUUGGAUAUGUGUAACACUGAGCAAGGUACCUUGGAUCUAAGCACUUCUUCAGAUGAUAUUAUCAUGGUACCACGUAGUGUAGCUGAAGCUCAAGAUUUGGCCAGUAGUCCAGAAAAUGCCAGGACUUUUAGUAGAACUACCACAGAUAGGGAGCCCCUGGGCAGAAAUUCCCGGGUCACCCCAGACCUUGAGCUGACAUCAGGUUCAGGGACUGGAUUGAAUGAUGACCGGAUCCCAGAGGGAAUGGCAGGAGUUAUGGAGAACCUGGACCAUAUGCAAGCUGAUGGUCAGGAUCUAGCAAGAACUCCAUCAGAUGCCCAUGAUUUAGAAAGUUCUCCUGCAGAACCUCAGAACUUUAGGACUGCUCUGUCAGAGAGUCGGGGCUUGGGCAGCAUUUUAGAAGAUGAUGUUCAUGGGACCUGCACGUCAGCCACUCUAAGCUGCUCAAGACAUGACCGAGCCCAAGCUCAAGAGUGUUCUUCCGUCAAAGUGAAUGGAAAUGCCUUGCCGUUGCGACCAAACCCUGUGUGGAAGCCCCGCAAGGCAGAACAUUUCAAGUACAGAGGAAUCAGUCACCCGAUCCAGAUGAGUCUCUGUACAAUCGUAUCCUUCGAUGAAUUCAACAGUGGAAAGCCUCUGUCUCAUCCUCUUCAUCCAUCGCCAGGAUCCCCUCCCUACAAGCUCCUCUUGGACAGAUGCCAGUCCUUACCGCUUUCCCAGAGCACCCCAAUGGGGCUGGAUCAACUGGGAUGGAAGAGGAAAGUGUUACUGAGUGCUGCGGCUGACAGUGACCUGGGUUCAAAAACACUGGAGGUGCGGCGUGAUAGGAAGAAUGGCAGGAAUAGAUGGAAACCUCUCAAGCCGGGAGCCGAGCAGCUGUUACUCAAUAAACUGAUCAGUGGCGGUUCUAUUGUAAGCGCUGAGGCAGUAUGGGAUCACGUCACCAUGGCCAACCGGGAGUUGGCGUUUAAAGCAGGAGACGUCAUCAAGGUUCUGGAUGCCUCCAACAAGGACUGGUGGUGGGGACAGAUUGACGAUGAAGAAGGAUGGUUUCCCGCCAGCUUUGUAAGGCUAUGGGUCAACCAAGAAGAUGGAGGGGAGGAAGGAACGAGUGAAGUACAGAAUGGACACUUGGAUCCAAAUGCUGCCGACUGCCUCUGCCUCGGCAGAACUCUGCAGAACCGAGACCAGAUGAGAGCCAAUGUGAUUAAUGAGAUAAUGAGUACGGAGCGUCACUAUAUCAAGCAUCUGAAGGACAUUUGUGAGGGUUACUUAAAACAGUGUCGAAAGAGAAGAGACAUGUUCAGUGAUGAGCAGAUGAAGAUCAUCUUUGGCAACAUUGAGGACAUCUACAGGUUUCAGAUGGGCUUUGUACGGGACUUGGAGAAGCAGUACAACAAAGAGGAUCCCCACCUCAGUGAAAUUGGGCCGUGUUUUCUGGAGCAUCAAGAUGGCUUCUGGAUCUAUUCAGAAUACUGUAACAAUCACCUGGAUGCAUGCAUGGAGCUCUCUAAGCUAAUGAAAGAUGGCAGGUACCAGCACUUCUUUGAAGCAUGUCGUCUCUUGCAGCAGAUGAUUGAUAUUGCUAUUGAUGGCUUCCUUCUGACACCUGUGCAGAAGAUCUGCAAAUACCCCUUGCAGCUGGCAGAACUGCUGAAGUACACUGCACAGGAACACAGUGAUUACAGGUACGUGGCUGCAGCCCUUGCAGUUAUGCGGAAUGUGACUCAGCAGAUCAAUGAGAGGAAAAGGAGACUGGAAAACAUUGACAAGAUUGCUCAGUGGCAAGCAUCAGUUCUGGACUGGGAGGGGGAGGAUAUCUUGGACCGCAGCUCUGAGUUGAUCUACACAGGAGAGAUGUCCUGGAUUUAUCAGCCUUACGGACGAAGUCAGCAGAGAGUCUUCUUCCUUUUUGAUCACCAGAUGGUUCUUUGCAAAAAGGACCUCAUAAGGAGAGAUAUCCUGUACUACAAGGGACGGAUUGACAUGGAUCGGUAUGAGGUUUUGGAUAUAGAAGAUGGACGGGAUGAUGACUUCAAUGUGAGCAUGAAGAAUGCCUUCAAACUUCACAAUAAGGAGACUGAGGAAAUGCACUUAUUUUUUGCCAAGAAGCUGGAGGAGAAACUGCGGUGGUUGAGAGCCUUCCGGGAGGAGAGGAAGAUGGUACAUGAAGAUGAGAAAAUAGGCUUUGAAAUUUCUGAAAAUCAAAAACGACAAGCAGCUCUGACAGUAAGGAAAGUCAGUAAGCAGAAAGGUGUCGGCCACUCGCGAUCCGUUCCUCCAGCCUACCCGCCACCCCAGGAUCCACUAAAUCAGGGACAAUACUUGGUGACCGACGGCAUAGCCCAAACGCAGGUCUACGAAUUCACCGAACCCAAACGCAGCCAGUCGCCAUUCUGGCAAAACUUCAGCAGGUUAACGCCAUUCAAAAAAUAAUAUAUAGAGUGAGAUGGAUAAUUUUAAAAAAAAUUUAAAAAACUAUUAAAAAUAAAAACCUAUAUUUAUAGAUGGACCUUUUUUGGAGAAGCACUGUUGCAACUAAACACACACACACACACACACACACAAAACACAUGUGCAUAUGCACAUGUGUACACACACAGCAUUUUCAAGGACCAAAAACAUUUUUCUUGUUCUGGGGGAAACAGUCUCUGCUACCAUAUUAUAGGAAGCACCAAGUAUUUCUAAUCAUGUAACCUACUUUAUUUUGACACCAUUGGACUCAUUGUUGUUACUGUUGUUCUUUUUUAAUAUACAUAUAUAUAUAUAUAUGAUUUGGUUUUUGUCUCAAAAUCGUCUCCUGGGAUGAUUUCGUGUUUGUUGCGCAUCCUGACAUGUUCCACCCAGGGCCAUCCAGAUGUACAUUUUGUUUUGAAUUUUAUUUAUGAAUUAUCUUUUCUUACCAAGAAGAAAGAGCAAACGAACCACUCCUUUUCCACAUCUCAUUCCCAACGCCCACCAUGAAUGCAACCCACCAGGAAGCAGUUCCCGCCUGAGCACCAUUGAUAGGCGAAUGGGACGUCUCAUUCACUUCAAUGGAACGAGUUCUGAGGGUGUGCUGAGGUGACUGCACCACGUACAUUGAAUGUCCAGGCUCCUUUUAGAAAAAGAGCCACGGUGCAUUUUGUUUCUCUACAUUCUUCCAUUUGGGAUCCAUGCUCUGUCGAAAAAAAAAGAAACCAACAUCGUCACACCAUUACUUGCAUCCUAAGUCGAGACUCAAUCGGUCUGACAAGAUCCACUUGUUGGACUGGCAGCUUCUUUCUUGAAGUGGAGAAAACCAAGGGGAAAAGAGCAUUGCCGACUCAGAGCAGAGCGUCCGGCAGACGAGGUGCUGGCUUUACCCCCAAGCCCGGAGGUGUGCUUGCCCCAGCUAUUGGCAUCCAAGGACAUCCUCCUCUUUCCAUAUGUUGUCAAGGUGCUACAAGGCAUGAAGCAUUUCUGCAAAGGAGAACCAGCAAAGGGUUCCAGUUUUACUACCUAGCUGCCAAUGUUUUCGGUGGGGAGGGCUGGAGUCAGGUUGAGCCAUUUUGUAGACUUGAAAGCGUCCAUCUGAUCCGAUGUGGGGAGGGGGAAAUGUUGGAGGGAUGAUGAUGAUGAUGACGACGACGACGACUGAUCAUGUUUCAUAGACUUACAAUUUCUGGACCAGACCAAGAGGAAGCUGCCACCAUUUCAUGUGGUGCCGUGAGGUUUACAGGAAGGAAAGAUGUGAGACACUUGCUGUACCCAAGGUUUCUCUGGCUGAAUCCAAGAAGAGAGCUCUAGAUAUAAUACGUACAGGGAGGAGGUACUUGCCCUGUUUCUUUAGACCAAUGAUAUGCAUUCCCCUCAUCAUCACCACCUUGACUUUACAGAUACAAAGGAUCUCUCUUCAAGAUUAUUGUCUCCCUACCUUCUUUUAACAUUUAAGGAAAAAGCAAAGCAAGAACCAACCUAGGUGCAUCUAACAAUUGUAAAUAGACAAUAAAUAGAGGAAAAAAAACAUAUAUUUGAAAUUUGUUUCAGUUUCUUGGAUGGAACCUAGCCAUCCAUUGCAAUGUUCUUGAUAGUACACUGUGGUGCUUUCAGUUUCUGGUUAUGUUCUCUUUAUGCUCAGUCAUCUUUUCAUUGCAGCUACAUUUCAGGGAACAUGUAAAUUUAGUAGCUAUUGUAAGUUCUGCAUGGCACCACCAAGCUUAUUUUUCCUUGAGAAGACAAGAAGGAUCCUGAUGGAGCAUAACAACCCUCUGAAUGGGGAGGGGCAUGUGCCAGAGAAUGCACACAGGAGUGGGGAAAUGGAUGAAAAUCCUCGUUUGGGGCCAAUUUUGGGGGAGGGGGGCUGUCAUGGUCUGAGCAAGCAGACAAAGGAUGUGGGUAACUCAGCUAAUUCUCACUUUCCAGUUCUCUUAUUUUGUUUCUAUUGAAAUGUUUGACCCUGUCAAACAAAUGUCGGAGCCGUGUGUAUUAAAACAAACAAACAGUGUUUUAAAAAAAAGUGUUGUAAAGACACUGAGCCUUAUGAAAAAUAUU